UCACCGCCUCGAAGAACCCGCACCCGGCAAGCAGCGGGCCGGUCCUGGAGCCCACCACGCCGGUGGGGAGCAGCACGGUGACGUGGAACCCGAAUAUGGCCUCCACGUUCUCCACGGCGCCUGCCUCCACCAUCCUCUUUGCGCCAAUACCGACCUCCUCACCCGGCUGGAAAAGGAGGACUACUGUGCCCUGAAUGGGGAAAAAAAUCAAACCUUUGGUGAAAUUGCAGAAACAACGAAACUACAAAACUUGAAGCCAGAACAACGUGAGAACGUCUCUCGUUUUCUUUUCUUUUCUUGAGCAAAUCUAUAUAUGGGCUGAG
This 323-nucleotide unclassified non-coding RNA is filed under the name Zea mays. RNAcentral's name for it is "misc RNA Zm00001eb155330". Lineage: Eukaryota; Viridiplantae; Streptophyta; Magnoliopsida; Poales; Poaceae. The record is from RNAcentral.